CCUACGGGAGGCUGCAGUGAGGAAUAUUGGUCAAUGGACGAGAGUCUGAACCAGCCAAGUCGCGUGAAGGAUGACUGCCCUAUGGGUUGUAAACUUCUUUUAUAUGGGAAUAAAAUGUUCCACGUGUGGGAUUUUGUAUGUACCAUAUGAAUAAGGAUCGGCUAACUCCGUGCCAGCAGCCGCGGUAAUACGGAGGAUCCGAGCGUUAUCCGGAUUUAUUGGGUUUAAAGGGAGCGUAGGUGGAUUGUUAAGUCAGUUGUGAAAGUUUGCGGCUCAACCGUAAAAUUGCAGUUGAAACUGGCAGUCUUGAGUACAGUAGAGGUGGGCGGAAUUCGUGGUGUAGCGGUGAAAUACUUAGAUAUCACGAAGAACUCUGAUUGCGAAGGCAGUUCACUGGACUGCAACUGACACUGAGGCUCGAAAGUGUGGGUAUCAAACAGGAUUAGAUACCCGGGUAGUC
This 460-nucleotide ribosomal RNA is filed under the name uncultured bacterium. RNAcentral's name for it is "partial 16S ribosomal RNA". It matches the Rfam family "Bacterial small subunit ribosomal RNA", at positions 338 to 795 of the family's 1533-position model. The record is from RNAcentral.